RNAcentral lists this ribosomal RNA (510 nucleotides) under uncultured bacterium. RNAcentral describes it as "partial 16S ribosomal RNA". It matches the Rfam family "Bacterial small subunit ribosomal RNA", at positions 28 to 507 of the family's 1533-position model. The record is from RNAcentral.
GACGAACGCUGGCGGCGUGCUUAACACAUGCAAGUCGAACGAAGAGCGAUGGAAGCUUGCUUCUAUCAAUCUUAGUGGCGAACGGGUGAGUAACGCGUAAUCAACCUGCCCUUCAGAGGGGGACAACAGUUGGAAACGACUGCUAAUACCGCAUACGAUCUAAUCUCGGCAUCGAGGAUAGAUGAAAGGUGGCCUCUACAUGUAAGCUAUCACUGAAGGAGGGGAUUGCGUCUGAUUAGCUAGUUGGAGGGGUAACGGCCCACCAAGGCGAUGAUCAGUAGCCGGUCUGAGAGGAUGAACGGCCACAUUGGGACUGAGACACGGCCCAGACUCCUACGGGAGGCAGCAGUGGGGAAUCUUCCGCAAUGGACGAAAGUCUGACGGAGCAACGCCGCGUGAGUGAUGACGGCCUUCGGGUUGUAAAGCUCGGUUAAUCGGGACGAAAGGCCUUCUUGCGAAUAGUGAGAAGGAUUGACGGUACCGGAAUAGAAAGCCACGGCUAACUACGUG